This 368-nucleotide ribosomal RNA is filed under the name uncultured organism. RNAcentral describes it as "bacterial SSU rRNA". It matches the Rfam family "Bacterial small subunit ribosomal RNA", at positions 526 to 896 of the family's 1533-position model. The record is from RNAcentral.
CGAAGGAUGCAAGCGUUAUCCGGAUUCAUUGGGUUUAAAGGGUGCGUAGGCGGCCUAAUAAGUCAGUGGUGAAAUCUCCUCGCUUAACGAGGAAACUGCCAUUGAUACUGUUGGGCUUGAGUACAGAUGCUGUGGGCGGAAUAUGACAUGUAGUGGUGAAAUACAUAGAGAUGUCAUAGAACACCGAUUGCGAAGGCAGCUCACAAAACUGUAACUGACGCUGAGGCACGAAAGUGCGGGGAUCAAACAGGAUUAGAUACCCUGGUAGUCCGCACUGUAAACGAUGAUUACUCGCUGCUAGAGGGCAACUUUUAGUGGCUUAGCGAAAGCGAUAAGUAAUCCACCUGGGGAGUACGCCGGCAACGGUG